GCGAAUGUAGCUCAGUUGGUUAGAGCGACGGAUUCAUAUCCCGUAGGUCGGCAGUUCAAAUCUGCCCUUUCGCA
This 74-nucleotide transfer RNA is filed under the name Halobacteriovorax sp. DA5. It matches the Rfam family "tRNA". Rfam says of the family: Transfer RNA (tRNA) molecules are approximately 80 nucleotides in length. Their secondary structure includes four short double-helical elements and three loops (D, anti-codon, and T loops). Lineage: Bacteria; Pseudomonadati; Bdellovibrionota; Bacteriovoracia; Bacteriovoracales; Halobacteriovoraceae. The record is from Rfam by way of RNAcentral.